CCCUUAGAUGUUCUGGGCCGCACGCGCGCUACACCGAUGCAUUCAACAAGCCUAGCCUUGACCGAGAGGUCCGGGUAAUCUUUGAAACUGCAUCGUGAUGGGGCUAGAUUAUUGCAAUUAUUAAUCUUCAACGAGGAAUGCCUAGUAAGCGUGAUUCAUCAAAUCGCGUUGAUUACGUCCCUGCCCUUUGUACACACCGCCCGUCGCUCCUACCGAUUGAAUGUGUUGGUGAGGAGCUCGGAUUGGCAGCAGUUGGUGGUUCGCCACCGGCUAUUGCUGAGAAGUCCUCCAGACCGCCCCAUUUAGAGGAAGGAGAAGUCGUAACA
RNAcentral lists this ribosomal RNA (326 nucleotides) under uncultured eukaryote. Its description in RNAcentral is "partial 18S ribosomal RNA". It matches the Rfam family "Eukaryotic small subunit ribosomal RNA", at positions 1470 to 1796 of the family's 1831-position model. The record is from RNAcentral.